GAUACUCACCAUUUGUGCUAGUCUGCAUCGAUAGGUUCACUUCCUUAGAUUUUAGCUACACAAAUAGCCUAUCAAAGGACAUGAGGGAUAAGUCUAUACUUGAAAGUGUGAGUGUUGAUAAGUCUAGAAAGUUCUUGAAAGAACCUAUAACUUGAUUUUUCGCAAGGUAUAAAAUUGAAAGUAUAGGCUCUCUAGCCUCAAGUA
Molecule: long non-coding RNA, 204 nt
Filed under: Ricinus communis (castor bean)
Lineage: Eukaryota; Viridiplantae; Streptophyta; Magnoliopsida; Malpighiales; Euphorbiaceae
Description: long non-coding RNA (RCOM_LNC001695)
Source: RNAcentral